CGUUGCCAAGGACGCGCGCGCCUCCGCCUUCCGGCCGCGAGAGGCGUGCCCAGGACCGUGAAGGGGAAUCCGGCUUCGCGCCGCGCCACUAGACCCGGACUCGGAGCCGCGGGCGCCCGGAGAUGAGCGGCGAUGACUCCUGCCUUAUGGCUGGGAUCAUUUACUACAGCCAGGAAAAGUACUUCCGCCACCUGCAGCAGGCUGCGGCUGUGGGCUUGGAGAAAUUCAGCAAUGACCCCGUGCUGCAGUUCUUUAAAGCCUAUGGAGUCCUCAGGGAAGAGCGUAUCCAGGAUGCCAUCAGCAACUUGGAGAGCAUCCGGAAUUACCCAGAUGUGUCCCUGUGCUCCAUCAUGGCCCUCAUUUAUGCUCACAAACGCUGUGAAACCAUUGACCGAGAAGCUAUUCAGGAGCUGGAGAGCAGCUUGAAGGAAAUCCGCAAGACAGCCAGUGGGACUGCCCUGUACUAUGGCGGCCUCUUCCUCUGGCUCUUGGGCCACCAUGACAAGGCCAAGGAGUACAUCGACCGCAUGCUGAAGGUCUCCAGCAGCUCCAGAGAGGGCUAUGUGCUCAGAGGCUGGGUGGACCUCACCUCAGAGAAGCCCCACACUGUGAAGAAAUCCAUCAAGUACCUGGAACAAGGAAUUCAGGAUACCAAAGAUGUGCUGGGGCUGAUGGGAAAGGCAAUGUACUUGAUGAUGCAGCAGAACUACUCGGGGGCCCUGGAGGUGGUGAACCAGAUCACCGUCGCCUCAGGGAGCUUCCUGCCUGCCCUGGUCCUGAAGAUGCGGCUGUUCUUGGCUCGGCAGGACUGGGAGCAGACAGUAGAAAUAGGACACAGAAUCCUAGAAAAAGAUGAAAGCAAUAUUGAUGCCUGCCAAAUUCUAGCUGUGCAUGAGCUCGCAAGAGAAGGAAACAUGACCACAGCUGCCGAGCACGUUAGAAAUCUGAUUAAGGCGCUAGAGAAAAGAGAGCCCCAAAAUCCAAGCCUCCAUCUGAAAAAAAUCCUUGUGGUUAGCAGACUGUGUGGGAGGCACCCGGUGAUUCUACAGCUAGUGUAUAGCUUCAUUGAACGCACCUUCAUGGCCACACCCUCCUACGCCCAUGUGGCCACAGAGCUGGGCUAUCUCUUCAUCCUGCAGGACCAAGUGAAGGAGGCAUCCCUCUGGUACUCGGAGGCCAUGAAACUGGAUGACAGCAGUGUGGCUGCCUUGACAGGGAUCAUCUGGUGCCAGAUCUUAGACGGCCACCUGGAGGAGGCUGAGCACCAGCUGGAAUUCCUGAAGGAGGUGCAGCAGUCCCUUGGGAAAUCUGAGGUGCUGGUUUUCCUCCAAGCCCUUCUGGCGUCCAAGAAGCACAAGGAGGAGCAGGAAGCCACAGUGCUCCUGAAGGAGGCAGCGGAGCUGCACUUCUCCAGCAUGCAGGGCCUCCCCCUGAGCACCAAGUACUUUGAAAAGCUGGACCCCCUCUUCCUGAUCUGCAUCGCCAAGGAGUACUUGUUCUUCUGCCCCAAGCAGCCCCGGUCACCAGGCCAGAUUGUGUCUCCACUUCUUAAACAAGUUGCUGUGAUCUUGAAUCCUGUAGUCAAAGCAGCACCAGCUCUGAUCGACCCCCUGUAUGUAAUGGCUCAGGUCAAGUAUCUCUCAGGAGAGUUAGAGAAUGCCCAGAGCACCCUACAGCGUUGCCUGGAACUGGACCCCACCUCCGUGGACACCCACCUUCUCAUGUCCCAGAUCUACCUGGCUCAGGGCAACUUUGCCAUGUGCUCCCACUGCUUAGAGCUGGGCGUCAGCCACAACUUCCAGGUCCGAGACCACCCCCUCUACCACUUCAUCAAGGCCAGGGCCCUCAACAAGUCUGGGGACUAUCCAGAAGCCAUAAAGACAUUGAAAAUGAUCAUAAAAUUGCCAACUGUGAAGAUGGAAGAAAGCAAGAAGUUCCGUGGGCCCUCGGUGCAGCCCAGCGAACGGGUAUCCAUCUUACUGGAACUGGCAGAUGCCCUCCGGAUGAAUGGGGAGCUGCAUGAGGCCACCAAGGUCAUGCAGGAUGCCAUCAACGAGUUCAGCGGCACGCCAGAGGAGAUCCGCAUCACUAUCGCUAAUGUGGACUUGGCCCUGAGCAAGGGGAACGUGGACAUGGCACUGAGCAUACUGAGGAACAUCACGCCCAAGCAGCCCUGCUACACAGAAGCAAGGGAGAAGAUGGCCAGCAUCUACCUGCAGACCCGCAAAGACAUCCGCCUCUACAUAGGAUGCUACCGGGAUCUCUGUGAACAUCUGCCUGGCCCGCACACCAGCCUGCUACUGGGUGAUGCUUUCAUGAAAAUUCAGGAGCCUGAGAAGGCCCUGGAGGUCUAUGACGAGGCCUAUCGCAAGAACCCACACGAUGCCUCCCUGGUCAGCAGGAUUGGGCAAGCUUAUGUGAAAACCCACCAGUACACCAAGGCGAUUAAUUAUUACGAGGCUGCCCAGAAGAUUAGCGGACAAGACUUUCUGUGCUGUGAUCUGGCUGAACUGCUCCUGAAGUUAAAGAAAUUCAACAAAGCAGAAAAAGUUUUGAAGCAGGCCCUGGAACAUGACUUUGUCAAAGACAUCCCAUCCAUGAUGAAUGACGUCAAGUGCUUACUUUUGCUAGCAAAGGUUUAUAAGAGCCAUAAAAAAGAAGAUGUGAUGGAAACUUUGAACAAGGCCAUGGACCUUCAGUUUCGGAUACUGAAGCGUGUUCCACUGGAGCAACCCGAAAUGAUCCCCUCCCAAAAGCAACUGGCAGCCUCCAUCUGCAUCCAGUUUGGUGACCAGUACCUGGCAGAGAAGGAGUAUGCCAAGGCAGUGCGAUCUUAUAAGGAUGCCCUCUCCUACUCGCCUAUUGACAAUAAGGUGGUGCUGGAGCUAGCGCAGCUCUACCUGCUCCAAGGGCACUUGGACUUGUGUGAGCAGCAUUGUGCCAUCCUCCUGCAGACUGAGAAGAACCAUGAGACCGCCUCUGCAAUGAUGGCUGACCUGAUGUUUAGAAAACAGAAAUAUGAAGCCGCCAUCAAUCUCUACCACCAAGUCCUAGAGAAAGCGCCAGAUAAUUUUCCCAUAUUGAAUAAACUAAUCGAUCUGCUACGAAGAAGUGGCAAACUUGAAGAUGCCCCUGCCUACUUUGAAUUGGCCAAGAAGAUGUCCAGCCGCGUGCCUUUGGAGCCAGGGUUCAACUACUGCAGAGGCAUCUACUGCUGGCACAUAGGGCAGCCCAACGAAGCCCUGAAGUUCCUAAACAAAGCACGCAAGGACAGCAUGUGGGGCCAGAGAGCCACCUACUACAUGGUGCAGAUCUGUCUGAACCCAGACAGUGAGAUCGUGGGCGGAGAGGCUUUGGAGAACCUGGUGGCUGAGAGCAACGCCCCCGACAGGAAGGAGUCGGAGCAGCACGGCGUGCGCACGGCCGAGAAGCUGCUGCGCGAGUUCUACCCGCGCUCGGCCUGGGGCCAGACCCAGCUGAGGCUGCUGAAGAGCCUCUGCCUGCUGGCCACCAGGGAGAAGGCCAACGUGGAGGCGGCGCUGAGCACCUUCAUCGAGAUGGCGCAGGCCGAGAAGGACAGCGUCCCCGCCCUGCUGGCCAUGGCACAGGCCUACAUGCUGCUGAAGCAGGUCCCCAAGGCGCGCACGCAGUUGAAGCGCCUGGCCAAGGCCCCGUGGGCGCUGGCCGAGGCCGAGGACCUGGAGAAGAGCUGGCUCCUGCUGGCCGACAUCUACUGCCAGGGCAGCAAGUUCGACCUCGCUUCGGAGCUGCUGCGGCGCUGCGUGCAAUACAACAAGUCCUGCUGCAAGGCCUACGAGUACAUGGGCUUCAUCAUGGAGAAGGAGCAGUCCUACAAGGACGCAGCCAACAACUACGAGCUGGCCUGGAAGUACAGUCAUCAAGCCAACCCUGCCAUUGGCUUUAAACUCGCUUUCAACUACUUGAAGGAUAAGAGAUACGUGGAGGCCAUCGAAGUCUGCCACAAUGUCCUCAGGGAGCACCCCAACUACCCCAAAAUCAGAGAAGAAAUUUUGGAAAAGGCCCAAGGAUCUUUGAGGCCCUAGCUGUCGUCAGUGGGAGCCAGUGUGGGUGGAAGCCAUCAACCGACAGAAGUUUCAUGGAGGGUGUAGGAAGUGGGAUGGCAGUAAUGGGCCAGUCUGACCUCAGGGGAAGGAACUCUGAGCCGGGAGUUAGGAGGCCUAGAAUCUUCCCGUGAGAUCUUCCCAAGACCCUUCCCCUCUCUGGGUCUCAGUGUCCCCAUCUGUGGCAGGAAAUUAGACUAGAUCUGUGUUCUCAAAUCAUAGCACAAAUCCCUGCCAAUGACAGACAGCAAACAUUUGAAAGUUUAAUAACUAUGUGUUUAAAUAUAAUUUUUAUAUAAUAAAAAUAGCUCAACAAACUCA
RNA transcript from Equus quagga, 4403 nucleotides. It is a transcript of the gene named tetratricopeptide repeat domain 21A, with no coding region annotated. The record is from RefSeq and is a predicted model, not a curated record. The transcript is spliced from 30 exons. NCBI's taxonomy places the organism in Eukaryota, Metazoa, Chordata, Mammalia, Perissodactyla, Equidae.